UUCCUUCAGCCACGCUUGGGGUCUCUGUAACGCUCCGUUUUAUGCUCGUUAAUGGCUCAAGUGCUGUGGUUCGGGGGGAAGCUGUUCCUCCCUUCCACGAGUUGUUCUCUCCUCUGUUUUCUCUGUGCACGCAGCCCUGUGAGCAGCCUGGGAAGCGGCUCGCUGCAGGUCGGAGCCUCCGAAGCGUAGAUCCUGUGUGAGGCUUCUCUGAAGGCUGUCACAUCAGUUCUGCCGGCAGCAGCGUGCCAGAGAGCAGGCAGCACGAAGCGAGGGUGUGGGAAGGGGCCGAUGUCUCCAGGAGCAGCCCCGGGGAGCUGAGGGGAGGCAGAAGCCGCCUGGAAAAGAUUUGGGGACGUGAGGGGAAGCUGCCCAGAGAAGGAGGAAGCUCUGCUGCGAAACAAGAUCCUGCCCUGGCACGCGUGGAGGUGCCGAGCUUGCGUCCCUCGUGCCGCCUGUGGGUUUGCGUGGGUCCUGCAGCUGCCGUGCUGUGUGCGUUCUUUUGUAAAACUUAUUUUUUCGUUUUUUUUUUUCCUUUUUUUUUUCUUGGAAUAAAACAUUUCAGUUAUUUUUGUAUACACCAAACUCCCCUUGUUGGCUUCUCCUGCUCUUCUGCCCCGCUGCGGAGGGAACGCGCCAACAGGUCCCCAGCGCCCCCACACCGCCUCCUGUGGGGUCGGGGACCCCUGGCUGCCCCCGGGGGGGCUGCAAAAACCAAGUGGGGGGCUCCCCUGGGGCUGGGGGCGCAGGGACCUGGCCCUUUGCUGGGACCGAUGGCCCCAAAAUAAACCAAAUCCCACCAAACCCACCAAAAAUCCCUCUGGAAGAGGCUGGGGCCG
RNAcentral lists this long non-coding RNA (836 nucleotides) under Anas platyrhynchos platyrhynchos (common mallard). RNAcentral describes it as "lncRNA (ENSAPLG00000027531.1)". The record is from RNAcentral. Lineage: Eukaryota; Metazoa; Chordata; Aves; Anseriformes; Anatidae.